Molecule: ribosomal RNA, 168 nt
Filed under: uncultured bacterium
Lineage: Bacteria
Description: partial 16S ribosomal RNA
Rfam family: Bacterial small subunit ribosomal RNA
Source: RNAcentral
CCUACGGGAGGCAGCAGUGGGGAAUUUUGGACAAUGGGCGCAAGCCUGAUCCAGCAAUGCCGCGUGCAGGAUGAAGGCCUUCGGGUUGUAAACUGCUUUUGUACGGAACGAAACGGUCUGCCCUAAUACGGUGGGCUAAUGACGGUACCGUAAGAAUAAGCACCGCAU